UUAACCAAUAAAAUUGACAAAGACCAAUUCAAAGCCCAACCCCAAAUGACCAAACUCUCCAUUUCUCCAUAAUUUUGAUAUGGGUCAUGGCCACUUUUUUGUGCAUCACAUGUUUGAUAGAUUUGCAUACAUGGGUCUUAAAAUUUUGACCUAACCAAGAAGUCAUUAUCCACCUGGAUGUGAACUAAGCUUGGUCCAGUAUUCAAUUGGAUGGAUGCCAGGGGCCAUGUCUAUAGCAGCUGAAAGCCUGCAAUUUCACCUGUGUUCAUCAUUAGCCUUUAAAAUGGUAUCCACGCACACACCGUAUUCUUCAAGUUGGAUCCAAUAUUCUUUCCACAUGCAUAAAAAGAUGUAGGAAAUUUCUGGAAGCAAACUACCAUCCAAACAAAGGGUUAAUGGGUUACUUAUAUUUGAAGCUGGAGAUGAUUAAAAUAUGUAGAUUUGGAGGGGUAUUGUUCCUUAAAUCAAGGGUAAGAAAGAAAAGGAAGAAAGAGAUGAUAGUCAUUUAAGGGGGGCCCUAAACUCAUUGACUGUGGUGGUGGGGAAGACAAAGAGAACCACCCCAACGUGUGAAACAAAAAGGCCUCUCUUCUUGGCCCCCACAACCCCCCCCCUUCCCUUUGAAAAAACAAACAAUAUUAACGGGAAAUGCUCGUCGUCUUCUUGGGAACUCCCUUUUCUCUCUCUCUCUCUCUCUCCUUUCUCUAUCUAUUAAUUUCUAUGCUCUUUCUCUUCCUUUGAUUCUGCUCCUUUUCACUACUUCUGGUUUCACUUCAGUUUUACUAGCCAAAAGAAGAAGCGGAAAAGGCCAUGAAGAAGAAGAAGAAAUAUGGGACGGUGCUGCUGCUUAUGUACAAGGGCUUUGUGCAUGGGGUUUUUGAAUUUUCUUUUGCAGAAUGAGGCUCUCAUUCUAUGAUCUCUCAUGGGUUUUGCUUAGAGAAAGGAAUCGUUUCCGGCAAAGAAUUCAUUGGAGACUCUAGUUUCCGGCGUACAUGGGAAAGCCAGGCAUUGCUCUUCUUCUUCUUCUUCUUCUUCUUCUCCCCCUCCUCCUCCUUCCGUCGCUCUUUUUCUUUCCUUGAUAUGUAUUUUUUCUCUUUAUUUUUUCUUAAAUCAUGUAUUCAGACAACUUUACCAGAGAGAAGAAAAAAAAAACAUGUAAACUGCCUCUAGACCUUCUUCAAGGAAGAUUCACAGAAAUGAAAUAAGAUUUGACUGGUUUUGCCUGGUCUCUCUGUCCCAUUCUUCUGAUCAUUCAUCUCAGGCUUCUUCCUCAGUGAUUUCAUAUCGAAGUUUCUUUUUCUUCUUCUUCCUUCUUUGAUCUUUCAAUUUUCUAAACCCAACAUUUAAGAGUAUAUGUUGAAGGUC
RNAcentral lists this long non-coding RNA (1365 nucleotides) under Vitis vinifera (wine grape). RNAcentral describes it as "long non-coding RNA (VVIN_LNC003711)". The record is from RNAcentral. Lineage: Eukaryota; Viridiplantae; Streptophyta; Magnoliopsida; Vitales; Vitaceae.